Numida meleagris (helmeted guineafowl) is the source of this 4112-nucleotide long non-coding RNA. RefSeq lists it as uncharacterized. Lineage: Eukaryota; Metazoa; Chordata; Aves; Galliformes; Numididae. The transcript is spliced from 5 exons. The record is from RefSeq and is a predicted model, not a curated record.
AUUGCCUUUCAAGUCCACUAUUUAGCUCUUACUAAUGGUGUCUUGAGGGGGAACAAAGGAAAUUUUCUGAACACAGAAUCAGGGGAUGUCUUUGCAAGGUUGUUAGGGGUAAUAGGAAUUUAGGGCAUAAGCAACAGGCGUAAUUCUUAUUUCAUUAACGAUGACAUAAAUCAGGUGUGUAUGCACUGAAUAGGAGAAUGAAGUUAAGCCAGUGCAGGUGGGGAGAGAAGCCUGUCAGGACUCUCACUCCAACACAGGACAGCAGCCUUCAGGGGCAGCACCUCUGUCCUGUCUCAGUGGAAGGUGAUGGAAAUAAAUCUUUGUUCUGCCUUAGAAAAUGCUGGGACAAGUGCACAGCUGAGUCAGAGCGAGUGAGUGCCAGUCCAUGUGCUCCUCUCAUCCUGCAGAAGUGCAGUAACCCUGACAGUGCGGUCAGGGCUUUAGCAUUAAGUCAAUAAAAAUGAUUGAGGGUCAACUCCUUAUUUACAGCCUGGAGUGGCAUUUUAUGGAAGCAUUAAAUUGGAUAUAAAUGUAAUGCAAUUUGCCAGAGUUAGGUAAAGGUCUCUAAUGUGAACGAGCACCAAGACCUUGAUUUUACAGCGCUGGGCACAUUUCCAUUUGACACGUUACAUACAGAAGCUGUUUAUCUGUAGGAACUAAGGGCGGUCACGUUCAUUUGCUGAAAAAUCAUAAGCAGCACAGCAGGGCUGGAAAGCUGAAGCAUGGCUGGAGGGAUGGCCUCGCAGUACAGGAGGCAGGACAGCCUUCUUCUGACCAGUUGUGAGAGCGGCUGGGCUGGUUACAGAAACCUCCAUCAGCAGAGACAUCUGGGUGAUAAGGAGCUCUGUAAGUUAUUGGGAAAUGCUAUCAUAAGAUCCACAGGCAGCUGGAUAAAGCCACACAAAAUCAAGUGGGAAAUGAAGCAUGUCUGACAUUGUGAAGCCGACUGGUCCUUGCAGUGUUAUUUCUGGUUUUCAAAUCAAUCCUGUGCACCUGGCAGGGCAACAGUGCACAUUUAGGGGGCUCAGGAAGAGACACUGAGUAAAUCUAAGGGAUUGUACUGAACAAGGAUGGGACGUGAUGGUCCAGCAUUCCCCUCCUGGCAGAGGGGGCCCACGGCAGAGCUCUUGCCCUCACUGCCUAUUGUGCCAGCACUUGAUGAAGAUCUUCAGCCUGUCGGCAGAGGAGUAGCCCUGCUGGGCACACCAGAGCACCUUGCCAGUGUGCUGUGCUGGGCCGCGGCUCUCCUGUCGAGGGCAGAUGGGAUUCCCUACUCGGGAGGCGCAGCAGUGAGCCACGCAUAAAACGGCCCAAAACAAAACUCGCACGCUUUAAGCUAACUGCGGAGCCCACGGAAGGCGCGUUAACUGCGCGCACUGGCAUAAUUUUGGCGGAGUGAGCUGACGUCGACACAAACCGCACCUUGCUGAGGGAACGGCCGCCUCGGCCGCUCUGGGGACGCGGGGCACCCAGGGCCGGCGCCAUGAGGGGCCGCAGCGCCGCCUGGCGGGCAGACACCGGCCCCGCCCGCCUCUGCCCUAGCAAACGGUCCGGCCCGUUUGCGCAAGAUGUAGGGGAAAUGUAGAAAGCAUGGAGUUUUUGGAGCCGACGUGUGCAGCUGUACGCUGCCACGCCGCUGGCUGCUGCCAGGCCAAUGCAGGAAGAGCGUUUUGAUCGGUGGAAAAAUCAGUUAUUAAUCAGCCCGGGGCAAUCGAUUUUCCAGCUGCCGUGUCCAUUGGAGAUUGGCCACUUCUAGCCCAAAGAAGCAGUGGAAGUAUUCACUAGAUAUUCACCAGCGUCCUUUGGCUCCUUUUGUCCAAGUCCAGACCACGUGCAGCAUUCCACCGGGACAGACGUGCGCUCACCUGAAGAUGUGCCUCUCACCUCCUUCUAUCCAAGAAAGAUGGCCCAGAAGAAGAGUUUACAGUAUGAAGAUAAAUGCUAUCAACAACACUGGAUGAACAAGAGGCCCUAAUGCAGCGGCCAACCCAAGGCCCUGUCACACAUCCAUGCUCAGUGCAGUUGUGUCGGUGCUGGCACCUGGCCCUGAGGGCAGGGAGCCCUGUGCCAGCCAUGAGCUCUGCGCCAGGAUGUUCUCCUCCAGGCACUCUGCUGGCGUCGCUGUGCUCAGGGCUGCCAAAGCUGCCUGCACGAACAAACACAGAGCUCUGGAACUGCCACCUGGCUGUCUCUCGAGCUCUCUUCUUUUAUUUAUCUCGGUAGCAGCAGCAGCCAAGGUUUGGAGCAGGCUGUGGCAUCAGGAGCUGGAGAAUCGCAGGAACAUCACUGGGCUCAGCAACCGGUGCUUCACACAUACAUAAUAAAGGCAAUGCUGAAUCAACCUCAUUCACAGCGGAGCAUGUGCAAGCAUGCACACUUCUUACAGGAGGCACACAAUGGCUCAUUUCCAGGAUGGGAUGCAUCCUACUCAGUGAGUGCAUGGUCUGGUGCCUUGCUGUCAGCCACCUUGAACCCCAGCUGGUGUCCCUUGUGCCACCACCCAGCUUCACCUGAGAGAGAGAGGAGAAGGGGUGCAAGGCUUUGCUGGCUGAUUCUGGGCUUUAUCCCAGCAAAGCAUAGUGGUUGGAGCAGGGAAGAGGAAAAGAAGCUGCUGUUUUUGGAGGGAAAACAUUACAUCCCUGGGACUCCUUGAUCAGCCUUCUGUCCAGCCCCUACUGCUUGCAUAUGCCAGGCAGCACAAGUUCUUUCCCAGAGUUUGGGUCUUUCUACAACAUAAAAGUGUUAUAAGCUACUCAUCUGCAGCUGAAUUGCUUUUCCUGGGCUAGGCGCAUUAAUUACUGCAGCAUGUGCUGCCAAAUUAAGAGUUUGGGGAAAAAAAUCAGUGAGUGCCAAGUAAUCCAUCUUAAAAAGCCACCUGCACUAGGAAAGGAAACAAAGGGUCUAGGGGUACCUGGAAACUUAACUUCACCAAAGGGGCAGCCAAUGGGUAGACUUUAGUCCUCCCUCUCUUCUUUUCCUCCUUCUUUGCUUUGCCUUUUGUCCUUUGCCUUUUCCUUGCUUUCCUUGUGUCCUUUCCUUUCGUUUUCAUUCUUCCCUGCCAAUUAGUGGUCUUAAAGUAACAGCAGCAAUAAAAGUGAGAAGAAGAAUCACAGAAGGUGCCUCUGGGGGUCACCUCACCCAGUCCAACUCAGAUAGGCAGUCCAACUCAGUUAGGGACACCCUGCUCCAGGUGUUGGGUAGGGCAGGACGCUGGUGCCACUGGAUGGCUGCACCAUGUGGUUCCAUCUGCCUGGCUCUAGUAAGCACAGAAGGGUUUUUUAUGCAUUAUCUCCUUCCCAGUUGUUAUAUAUCCUAAGGGCUCUGCUCCCCUUUAGUUGAAUACCGACUGGUCCCUUGAAAUAAAUGCUUACGAGUAAUGAGAUUAUUAAGUCUCAUGGGAAAGCAAGGAGGGGAGAAGAGACACUCUAGGUUACAAAAAGAAAAAAAAAAGCAACAAAAACAAGGAAAGAAUGGAGAUGAUGUAAAGCUAUGCUGUGAAGGAUUGUCUGGCCUUGGGGACUGGUUUAUGCAAGCCAUUUUGAGCUACAGAUCUCAAGCAGGCUAAAAGGGAGCAGCAGUCAGACAACCUAAUCACUCAGAGACCUGCCUGCCAUGUUGGAGAGAACUCCCCAAUUAGAAAGCGCAUGUUUGGAAAAGGAAUGUCUGUGGGAGCAUAUAUUGGAUUGUUAUUACUUGCAAAUAGCUGUUAAAACAUUUCCCACUGCAAUUCCAAUUCAUUCAAAAUUUUCCAUACUCUCUCUUGAAGUAGAUUAAACUGCAUAUACCGUCCGUAAAAAUCAAGCAUUGGAUAGCUUCCAAAGAGUCAUAAAGCUAAGGUUGCAGGAUGAUAACAGUCAUUUGUAAAAGUAAAUAUGAUAAAAUGAACAGCUGCUUGCAUAAGGCAGCACUACAGACUUCCUAAUUACUAGAUCAGUUCAUUUGGGGCUUCAAAAUAAUUUGAGUUCUGCUUGCCUGAGUGCUGUUAAUUGAUCAGAAAGUAAAGCUGAUCAUUGCUUUCUUUUCCCAUGACAUAUAUGUUUUAAUAAAUUAUUGCUUGCAGCUCAUGCGAUGUUACUCAUUAUUGACUUCAGGUACAUUAGCUGUCUGGAUGG